CUUCCGCAAUGGACGAUAGUCUGACGGAGCAACGCCGCGUGAGUGAUGAAGGUUUUCGGAUCGUCAAGCCCUGUUGUUAGGGAAGAACAAGUGCCGUUCAAAUAGGGCGGCACCUUGACGGUACCUAACCAGCAAGCCACGGCUAACUACGUGCCAGCAGCCGCGGUAAUACGUAGGUGGCAAGCGUUGUCCGGAAUUAUUAGGCGUAAGGGGCUCGCAGGCGGUUUCUUAAGUCUGAUGUGAAAGCCCCCGGCUCAACCGGGGAGGGUCAUUGGAAACUGGGGAACUUGAGUGCAGAAGAGGAGAGUGGAGUUCCACGUGUAGCGGUGAAAUGCGUAGAGAUGUGGAGGAACACCAGUGGCGAAGGCGACUCUCUGGUCUGUAACUGACGCUGAGGAGCGAAAGCGUGGGGAGCGAACAG
Molecule: ribosomal RNA, 421 nt
Filed under: uncultured bacterium
Lineage: Bacteria
Description: bacterial SSU rRNA
Rfam family: Bacterial small subunit ribosomal RNA
Source: RNAcentral